RNAcentral lists this long non-coding RNA (243 nucleotides) under Fukomys damarensis (Damara mole-rat). RNAcentral describes it as "lncRNA (ENSFDAG00000030297.1)". The record is from RNAcentral. Lineage: Eukaryota; Metazoa; Chordata; Mammalia; Rodentia; Bathyergidae.
GUGACAAGCUACGGGACUUCUCUGCUUCCUCCAGCAGUCUUCUGCUUCCAGAACAAUCUGGCAGUGCAGGUUCAUCUGCCUCAUGCCUUCCUGGGUCCCACUGGCUCUCACAUUCCAAACCCCUUCUCCAUGCCCACAUCGCCUGUGAAGUCUCUGUGACAUGUCAUACCCACGUCACUACUUUCCUCAAAGGAAGGGACAAAGUGUCACUAAAGAUACAUUCAGUUUUUACUACCUCCAAGU